This is a non-coding RNA of Crucibulum laeve, 85 nucleotides long. NCBI's taxonomy places the organism in Eukaryota, Fungi, Basidiomycota, Agaricomycetes, Agaricales, Nidulariaceae. The record is from the annotation of a GenBank genome assembly.
GGCCGCCUGGCGAAAUGGCAUCGCGUCUGACUACGAUGUUAUGAUUGUUAUCAGGAGAUUGCAGGUUCGACCCCUGCGGUGGUCA